CCCGGGAUCGGCAGUGUUUUUUUCUCCCCGGUAUUUGUUGAAGCGGGUCCGGAGCGGCGGAUCGUCCGCGGGAUCGAGAUCGGGAUCAGGGGUCAGGGUCCUCGCCCCCUCGGGCGGGGAGCCGGGGAGGGGGGACGGAUCAUUCUCUGCCGAACGAGUCCGACAAGAUCCCUUCGUUAAAGUUAGACCUGCGGUGAGAGAUUUAUUGGAAGAAAAGCCCACAACUGGAAGCAAACAAUGACUGAAGACGAGGGAACAGCAGCAAGUGAACCAGCCCGAGGACUGACAGCACCAACUGGAGAGAACCCUUCUGACUCAGAGUUUCCAUCGAUUCAGUCAGGAGAAAGUCUGUUAGACCUGCAGUGAGAGAUUUAUUCGAAGAAAAGCCCACAACUGGAAGCAAACCACAACUAUAGAUGAGGGAACAACAACAAGUGAACCAGCCCGAGGACUGAGAGCACCAACUGGAGAGAAUCCUUCUGACUCAGAGUUUCCUUUGAUUCAUUCAGGAGAAAGUUUGACUGUACCUGGAAUAUGGAGUAAAAUCCCGCUCCCCACACUAACACGGGUUAUACAGACCAAAGAACAAACUGCCGGAGGAACUCAGUGGGUCGGACAGCAUCUGUGGAGGGAAAUGGACCGUCAACAUUUCGGGCCGAGACCCUCCCUCUGGACUGAGAGUGGACGGGAAAUAGUCAGAGAAAAGAGAUCUGCAGCAUUUGCGGGGUUUUUCUUCCGAAGCCCUACCCCCGCUCUGAUGACCAUCACUUUGCGAAUGCUCACAGUCCCCGGCUGGGCUUUGGUUUUCGUUCCGUUCCGUGUUGAAGCGGAUCAUCAGUGGGGAGUCGCGGGGCGCAUCACUGACUACGGGGAAAAUUGAUCAAUUUUCUAUCGUGUUUUGUCCAACCGGUUUGGAUUUGAUUUCAGCGGAACGGCCGCUCCCUGUUCUGAGGAAUGUACACGGACAGGCAGCUGCUUGGACGCAGACCCUGAGCACCGAGUCUCACAGAACAACAAGCCGCACCUUCCAAAUCGGUCAAUCAUCUGCCCGCUUCCCCUUUCCAUUCCAGUCCUGAUGAAGGGACUCGGUCCGUAACGUCGACUGUUUACACCCAUCCAUAGAGCAGCCUGACCUGCUGAGUUCCUCCAGCAUUGUGUGUGUUACCAUGGAUACGAGAGAUCCGUGUGGGGCAGCAGGUGGGGCUAUUUAUGAAAAAAACGAUACACCGUAUCCACAGUCUCAGAAUAUUCUUGGGGAGUUAAGGUGAGAAUAAUUCAGCUUCUGAUAUUUAUUUUGGAUCUUUAUUUCCAAACAACCAGUUAUCUGUGCAUUGGAUCAGCGAAUAAGAAGAUUGUUGGGUUUUUAAGCCACUUCUGGCUGUGGUGCUUUUUGUGUUCCUACUGUUUCCUGUUUGCACGACUGACAUUUUCCACAGGUUAGGUAAAGAUUAAGAACAAUGGCCACCAGUUUCAAAGCAAGGGUGUGAGAUCUGUACAACAAACAUCUGUUCCGUUCCAGAAUUUCCUAUUUCAGACGAAUGCAUCUCUUGUUCCUGCGUCAAUUGUGGGUGUUUUCAACUCCACUCCUCAAUGGCCAGUUGAAGCAAAGACUGAUUCUGUUGAAGGCCGAGAUUUUUGAUAAAGAACGGGUUCGAAGUGUUACAGGGAUGCACAUGGGGGAAUACAGAAUGAAAUUUUAGAUCAGAUCAGUUCUGAUCUCAUUAUCUGCAGCAACAGUUUCGAGUGGCCUGUCCAGUAAUGUGUUUUGUUGUGUUGACUGGAAAAACUCUGACGAUUUAAUUAAUGUAAGCUUACUAGUAUGUGAAGGGAGAUAUGAUUUUAUUUAUAUAGUUGAACUGAACACAAGCAGUUUGCUUGAUUUAAUGAUUUGCAUUUAACUUUGUGCGUUAAAUGUGUGCCCCAGCUGCGUUAGGGUGUCGAACUUUUGACUUAUUCGGUCAGCUGGCCAGUAUGGUACGGGACAGCAGAACGUGCUCCCCGUUCCCUGUCCCUGACUCUAUGUAGUUUCCUCAUCUACCGCGCGCACCUCCCACUGCCUCACUCCAUGUGGCCAAAGUAUUUGAGCUUUUCAAGUCUCCUUAUCAGCAGUCGGGCUGUACUUCUUCAAGUGUUGACUUGUUGGAUCUUCUUGCUGUCAAAUGAACUCAUAGCACUUUCCUCCAGCAUCCAAGUUCAAAGGCGUCGAUUCUUUUGUGUUCCGCCUCACUAAUAGUCCAGCUCUCACAGCCACACAUCACAACUGGAAAUACCAUCCUUGACUAUACGGACUUCGGAGACAAUGUUAUAUCUCCGAUCUUCAGUAUUUUAUCGAAAUUUCCAUUGCUUCCCGUCCCAGAAGUAAGAACUAUUUAAUUUCGUGGCUGCUUUUAUCAUCUAUAGAAAACUUGGAAUCGACAAAAUUUGUUACUGAUUCCACUUCCUUUCCACUUAUUACCAUUCAGUUGAUAGGGCUGGCCAGUAUUUUUGAUAUUGAACAACCAGUGAACUUUUCCACUUCCUUCUUUCACUUUCAUUAGAAACAUCCUCAGAUCCUCCUCACUUUCAGCCAUUAGAGUAGUGUCACCAGCAUAUCUGAGGUUGUUGAUCCGGCAAUUUUUAUUCCAACACUUACAGUCCUCGAGACCAGCAUUCCUCAUGAUGUGUUCAGCUCAUAGAUUAAAUAAGUAGGGUGACAUCAUGUAGCCUUGUCAUACUCCUUUCCCAAUGUUGAACCAGUUUGUUGUUCCGUGUUCAGUUCUAACUGUUGCUUCUUGAUCUUCGUACAGGUUUCUCAUAAGGCAGAUCAGAUGUCCAGGUAUCCCUAUUUCUUUAAGGAUUUGCCACAGUGUAUUAUGGUCCACACUGUCGAAGGCUUUAGAGUAGUCAAUAAAACACAGAUAAAUACUUUUCUGGAAUUCUCUCGAUUUCGCUAUUAUCCAGUGUAAGUUAGCAAUUUUGUCUCUGGUGCCUCUGCCUCUUCUAAAACCAGCUUGUACAUCUGGCAGUUCUCAUUACAUAGAUUGCUGGAGUCUUGCUUGCAUGAUUUUUAGCAUUACCUUGCUAGCAUGUGAGAUUAGUGAAACUGUUCGGUAGUUUGAAAAUUCCUUUACAUUUCCCUUCUUGGGAAUUGGGAUAUAAACUGUUUUUUUUCCCCAGACUACAGGCCAUUGUUAGGUUUACCAGAUCUGCUGUCAAAUUGCAUGCAACACUUUUACAGCAUCACCUUUUAAAGUUUUAAACGAUUCAACUGGACUGCUGUCACAUCCUGCAGCCUCACUAUCGCCCAUCCAACUUCACUUUCCAGAGUGUCCGGCUCUAGAUCAACGAGGGAGUCACUGCAGGUGUCUUUGCUGUUGGGAUAUUUCCUGCACAAUUCUUCUGUGCAUUCCUGCCACCUCUUUUUGAUGUCUUCUGCUUCUGUAUGGUGCUUCCCUUUUUUAUCUUUUCCUGUACUCAUUUUUGCAUGAAAUGUUCCUUUGAUUUCUCUUAUCUUCUUGAAUAGAUUUCUUGUUUUUAUCCAAUUCUUUUGGCUUCUUCAGCUUCUUUGCUUCGCUCCUUUAAGUCAAGUUUCCGUAUCUUUCCUUGCUAUCUUCUUGGACUUUGUGUUCAGUUGGAGGUAUUUGUUCCGAUCUCCAUUGGCCUUCUCUUCUUCACUUCUCUUCACUGCUCAGCCUACGCAAAAAGCCAGUUUGCUUUCCUGGUUUUCUUUGUGUUUGCAAUAUUUUUUGGCACCUCUUGUAUAAUGCUCCUGACUUCUAUCCAUGGUUCUUUUGGCUUUUUCUCUACCAGCUUUAAUCCACGAAUCUGUUCCUCACCUCCACGGCAUAUUCUUCAGGGAUGCUAUCAACAUCAAACUUCUGAUUAUCGCCAGCAGGAGGUGCUUUCUUCCACCCAGACAGCACACAAGCAGACGACUAUCAACCAACGUCAGUCAGAGUCAGAAUGGACACAGAUCUGAACUCUGCAAUCUCCGCCUUCCUGUCAAAUUGUGAGGAUCACCAACUGUUCCGGUUGACGAGAUUCUACAUGGAGCGACUGGAGCAGGCGAUUGAGGAGGGAGUGGAGGGAGUCGGCUUCAUGUUAAUGGGCGAGGAUCACUUCACCGGGCCAGAGUAUCACGUAAGUGGUAGGAACAUAGAUUGACUGUAGAUUCUACUGAAUCAAUCACAGAUCAACAGAACCGGUGUAACGGCACCUCUGGGCUAUGAAAAUCCUGCAAUGCUUGUGGUCAACAUCAAGAAAAGUGUUUUUGUUUGCAGAAACCCUGAACGUUUAUUCACCAGUAUAAGCCUCUGUCCAUUUUUCAGAAUACAUUACAUUUAGACAGGUUAGGAUACAGACAAUGAUUGAUGGGUGAAUUUAGUGGCGUGGCGCUUGACAGAUAUUGCAAGUAGACAUAGGACAACUUCACAGCACUCAGUCUGACAUCACAUCAUGUUCCCAAUGCUUGACCUUAAUGGGCAUUCACCAGUCUCUCUUGAUAGUGACUUAAUUCUCAGCUCAUUUCUCGAGUCUAGAUUCAACCCCAUCAUCAAUUGAACAGGCAGUACUGAAUGUCGUCUCUCUUUUCAACUACUGACCCUCUUGCAUUUGAUCAAAUAUCCGAACAUGCCUCAUGGUUCAGUUACCUUCUAUUCCUUGUGAGAGUUCCAUUUGGAGUCUGUAAUUACCACAGCAUAUACCGUUAACACUGGGAACUGCAAAAUCAUACAUUUGAAAAUAGGCCAAGCAUCUGCAGCUAACCCAGGAUUACCAAGAAAUGCCUUUCUCAUGGUCCUCCUGUUACUGGGACACGUUCAUCUAUUGCUCAUCAGAUUGAAUUUUAGUGAAGAGCCACACAUCAUCGCUCACCCUAACGUUCCACACGAAACAGCUGACAAUUUCAAUCUGAACUUCCUUCUCUGCAUUACUACCAUUUGACUUUGGUCUCUCUAACAUGCACAAAAGUCCUGCAAUUGCUGUCUGCUCCUCACUGCCAGUUCCCAGCUAUAGGCUGACAGUGGACCCCUCAUGGAGCCUGGCAGUUAAUUGUGAACCUGCUGCUGUUCACCAGAGAUUACCCCAGUGACCCCGUCAUAGUUUGACUUAGUCAUAGUCAUCGAACUCUACAGUACAGCAACAGGCUCUUCGGCCCAUCAAGUUCACACUGACCUAUUACAUACUUAGUUGCAUUGAUCUGCACACCAUCUAGAAACAUCCAUACCACUCUCA
RNA transcript from Mobula hypostoma (lesser devil ray), 5211 nucleotides. RefSeq lists it as uncharacterized. The record is from RefSeq and is a predicted model, not a curated record. The transcript is spliced from 8 exons. NCBI's taxonomy places the organism in Eukaryota, Metazoa, Chordata, Chondrichthyes, Myliobatiformes, Myliobatidae.